AUGAUUAGAGCAAAGUAUUUGAAAAAGAAAACUUUGACUCAAUGUGAAUCAUCUCCUGGCAACUCCCAUUUCUGGAAUGGUUUGAUGGAGGUUAAAGAUAUUUUUUAUAGAUGCUGCCAGAGAGUUGUGGGUGAUGGUCGCAAAACUAGAUUUUGGGAGGAUGUUUGGUUAAGAGACAACCCCCUAUGUUUGGUUUUCCCACGUCUUUACAACUUG
RNAcentral lists this ribosomal RNA (216 nucleotides) under Triticum aestivum (bread wheat). RNAcentral describes it as "partial small subunit ribosomal RNA". Lineage: Eukaryota; Viridiplantae; Streptophyta; Magnoliopsida; Poales; Poaceae. The record is from RNAcentral.